Molecule: transfer RNA, 96 nt
Filed under: Candidatus Woesearchaeota archaeon
Lineage: Archaea; Nanobdellati; Candidatus Woesearchaeota
Description: tRNA-Val
Source: RNAcentral
GGGCCUGUGGUCUAGUGGCUAUGACACAACCUUCACACGGUUGAGGUCCCCAGUUCGAACGCUUCGCAAAAAAGCAGGAAAGUCUGGGCGGGCCCA